UUGUAGGGAACUGAAAGGACGACCUUCGGGGAGCCUAUACAGGUGUUGCAUGGCUGUCGUCAGCUCGUGUCGUGAGAUUGUUCGGUUAAGUCCGCUAACGAGCGCAACCCUCGUCGUAUGUUAUAUGUGUCAUACGAGACUGCCGGUAAAAAGCCGGAGGAAGGUGAGGAUGAUGUCAAGUCAGCAUGACCUUUAUAUCCAGGGCUACACACACGCUACAAUGGUCUGUACAAUGGGUAGCCAAGCCGCGAGGCGGAGCCAAUCCUGAAAGCAGGCCUCAGUUCAGAUUGCAGUCUGCAACUCGACUGCAUGAAGCCGGAGUUGCUAGUAACCGCAGGUCAGCAAUACUGCGGUGAAUACGUUCCCGGGUCUU
Molecule: ribosomal RNA, 373 nt
Filed under: uncultured Anaerolineaceae bacterium
Lineage: Bacteria; Bacillati; Chloroflexota; Anaerolineae; Anaerolineales; Anaerolineaceae
Description: bacterial SSU rRNA
Rfam family: Bacterial small subunit ribosomal RNA
Source: RNAcentral